This 375-nucleotide ribosomal RNA is filed under the name uncultured bacterium. RNAcentral describes it as "bacterial SSU rRNA". It matches the Rfam family "Bacterial small subunit ribosomal RNA", at positions 521 to 896 of the family's 1533-position model. The record is from RNAcentral.
UAAUACGGAGGUGGCAAACGUUACUCGGAAUUAUUGGGUGUAAAGGGCAAGUAGGCGGCUUAAUAAGUGGGGGGUGAAAUACUUCGGCUCAAUCGGAGAACUGCCUUCCAAACUGUUAAGCUUGAGUAUGACAGAGGAAAAUGGAAUUCUUGGUGUAAGGGUGAAAUCUGUAGAUAUCAAGAAGAACACCAGCUGCGAAGGCGAUUUUCUGGGUCAUUACUGACGCUAAAUUGCGAAAGCUAGGGGAGCAAACAGAAUUAGAUACUCUGGUAGUCCUAGCCGUAAACGAUGAGCACUAGGUGUCGGGUCCUUUAGGAUUCGGUGCCGCAGCUAACGCAUUAAGUGCUCCACCUGGGGACUACGGUCGCAAGGCUA